This 253-nucleotide ribosomal RNA is filed under the name uncultured bacterium. Its description in RNAcentral is "partial 16S ribosomal RNA". It matches the Rfam family "Bacterial small subunit ribosomal RNA", at positions 524 to 776 of the family's 1533-position model. The record is from RNAcentral.
UACGUAGGGGGCAAGCGUUGUCCGGAUUUAUUGGGCGUAAAGAGCGUGUAGGCGGCCAGGUAGGUCCGUUGUGAAAACUCGAGGCUUAACCUCGAGACGUCGAUGGAAACCAUCUGGCUAGAGUCCGGAAGAGGAGAGUGGAAUUCCUGGUGUAGCGGUGAAAUGCGCAGAUAUCAGGAAGAACACCUAUGGCGAAGGCAGCUCUCUGGGACGGUACUGACGCUGAGACGCGAAAGCGUGGGGAGCGAACAGG